Molecule: ribosomal RNA, 574 nt
Filed under: Podosphaera clandestina
Lineage: Eukaryota; Fungi; Ascomycota; Leotiomycetes; Helotiales; Erysiphaceae
Description: eukaryotic LSU rRNA
Rfam family: 5.8S ribosomal RNA (bases 208-361)
Source: RNAcentral
CAGAGACGGCCGGGCGGCGAGUGGGCGAUUACUGAAGCGAGAAGCCACGCAGGGCGUUUGUCCUGCGCGGCUGACCCUCCACCCGUGUGAACUGAUUUUGUUGCUUUGGCGGGCCGGGCUCGACCUACCGGCUCCGGCUGGGGAGUGCCCGCCAGAGAAGCCCCAACUCGUGCAGUUAGUGCAGUCUGAGAAAAAUUUAAUAAGUAAAACUUUCAACAACGGAUCUCUUGGCUCUGGCAUCGAUGAAGAACGCAGCGAAAUGCGAUAAGUAAUGUGAAUUGCAGAAUUUAGUGAAUCAUCGAAUCUUUGAACGCACAUUGCGCCCCCCGGUAUUCCGAGGGGCAUGCCUGUUCGAGCGUCAGAACAUCCUCUCAAGCCUGGCUUGGUCUUGGGGCGCGCCGGCUCGGCGUCCCCUAAACAUAGUGGCGGUACCGUUGUGCUCUCCGCGUAGUCACGUAUCUCGCGACAGAGUGGCGAUGGGACCUGCCAGAACACACAUUUUUUUGGAUGACCUCGGAUCAGGUAGGGAUACCCGCUGAACUUAAGCAUAUCAUAGGCCGGGAUGAAAAUUGGC